RNAcentral lists this ribosomal RNA (253 nucleotides) under uncultured bacterium. Its description in RNAcentral is "partial 16S ribosomal RNA". It matches the Rfam family "Bacterial small subunit ribosomal RNA", at positions 524 to 776 of the family's 1533-position model. The record is from RNAcentral.
CACGUAGGGCGCAAGCGUUGUCCGGAAUUAUUGGGCGUAAAGAGCUCGUAGGCGGUCUGUUGCGUCCGCUGUGAAAACCCGGGGCUUAACCCCUGGCUUGCAGUGGAUACGGACAGACUAGAGGCGGGUAGGGGUGAGCGGAACUCCAGGUGGAGCGGUGAAAUGCGUAGAUAUCUGGAGGAACACCGGUGGCGAAAGCGGCUCACUGGACCCGAUCUGACACUGAGGUGCGAAAGCUAGGGUAGCAAACGGG